Long non-coding RNA from Pipistrellus kuhlii (Kuhl's pipistrelle), 1053 nucleotides. RefSeq lists it as uncharacterized. Lineage: Eukaryota; Metazoa; Chordata; Mammalia; Chiroptera; Vespertilionidae. The transcript has 2 exons. The record is from RefSeq and is a predicted model, not a curated record.
CAGUUCUUAAUCUUUUUGAGCAGACCUGUUGAUUUUUUUUUUAGGAUGCUGCACAUAUAAAAGCACUUUGCAUUUAAGUUGUUCAUAAAGCCUGGAUUAAGGACCCUUGCGUUAUGGUGUUUGAUGGUUUUUGUUUGUGAAUUAAUUUUAACUUUUAAGAAAUUCAUUCUAAAUCCUUCCUUAAAAGUAAAGACAUGUGAAUGGAGUGAAAUUGCUCAUUACCCUAGGAUUUAGCAACCUAUUACAUACUUGAUAUCUGAACUUUUAAAGUUUUGUUGUUGUUGUUAAUGUCUACCGUGGAGUCAUCUGUUGGAGUAAGAGGUUAGUCACCCCACAGGUACAGUGUACUUCUUAGUCUAACUGGCAUAGAUAGAAUAGGGGCUUAAUAAAUAUUUAUUGUAAGAUGAUAUGCAUAUAUGCAGAUGUACAUAGCUAAUACUAAUUACUUAACAUAGCUCUUGGUUCUUAGUAAGCAUAUAAAGCCAAACCACACUUAAAUUGUAAAUGGUAAAUUAUAUUUUUGACCAAGCAUAUUUACCCAUUUACUAAAAAAAUCAGAUACUAUUAUUAGGCAUUGUUUUAGGUUCUAGAAAUUGAAGGUUUUCCACUAAGGAUCUACUAGGAUUGUGUUGUGUAUACGUAUGUCUGCAUAGAAUGACCACAGAACUACAGGAACACUGGGAAGGGAGUGGAAAACCGUUUUCAUGAGAAUACUAGAUUUGAACUGUGUCUUGGAAAGAGACAAAUAGUGCAGGUCUGGGUGUAAGCACAGUCACGGGAUUUGGGUAGACGUGUGUGACCGGAGUGAGGUGCAUAGGAGGGGGGUGUGGUGGUAAGAGGUGAGGCAGAAGGAAGGUGGGCCCACAGGUCCGGAAGGUAAGGCCCCUGAGUGCCAUUGCUGUCCCCUGAGGCUGUCACUUCCAGCGCAGGGCUUGGGAACCUUCUCUGCCAAGGGCCCUUUGGAUAUUAAUAACGUCAUUCGUGACCACACAGAAUUACCCACUUAAAAGCUAGCCUGCUGUAUUUGGUCAAACAUACGAAUUAGGAAGAUUA